GGAGGUCCUCGGCUCGCCCUGGGCGCGGAGCGAGGACUCUGGUCAGAGGUAAUUAUGUCACCGCGUUUUCUCGCCGUGACAGCCGAAUAAACACGAUCUCCAAUAAACAUCUCUAAUGAGGGAGGAGGCCCGAGGAUGGCUGGGUUUGAUUUAUGACUGGAGGAGAAGGUCCACUUCCCACUGCGAAGCAGGCGACCUGCUCGCCGCCCAGCUCCAGGGAGAGGAACCCGCGGAGGAGAGGAUCCCGGCCCAGAAUAAGGAUAAUAAGAGUAUCAACCUCAGAGGAUCACUGCAAGAAUUGAGUGGGAUACAUAUGACGUGCUUAGCACAGUUUGUGGCCCAUGCAGUUCCUGGGGGUCUGGUGAGAAGAAGACAGGCCUGGAGUUGAAGGAGAGAAAAAAGGCUGGGCUGGCCUGUUGGAAGGAGACUUCCACCUCUGCAAGCAUCCCCAUCUUGUUUGGAUUGCAAACUCAGUUGCCAGCCAAGCAAGAUGAGGGGAACGGCUUUGGACUCGGGCUGACUUGGACCACAUCCCAUCUCUGCCGCCAUCUGAGCUCUGUGACCGUGAAGUGCUCCUACCACCCUUCUGAGCUUUUGUUUUCUUCACCUGUAAAAGUGCAGGAAGAAUACUUACCUGUCACCAGAAUAUUCCAAGAAUUAGAAUUAAUGUUUGGAAAGUUGUUGACACCUAGCAGGUACUCAAAAAAUGGUGGCUAUUACUACUACAUUCUACAGUCUCUGCGCUACUUUGAAAGGACUUGCUUCUAGGGGAGCUUAUUUCUAAUGGGGAGAUAUUUUGGUUUUGAAGUAAAAUCUAUACCGUGUUAGAUGGGAGGUGUGCUUUAGAGAAAAAAUAAAGCAGGGAUGGGAGACUGAGAUGGCUGGGGAGCCUGAGGAAAGCCCCAUUUAUAGGUCUAAGAAUGAGAGAGAGUUUCUUUCUUAAAUUCCCUCUCCCUACUUUAUCAAAGAGAUUUUACUUCCAAAUAAGUGUAAACGGGAAAAGGGAACAGAGCCUGAAAGACACUCAAAACAGACACUCAAAAAUGCUGUCCUAGGGAGUCAGCUGGGGUGUCAUCACUGACGUGGGACUUAGGGUGUUGAGCUGGAGUCCUGGUUUGUCAUUUGAAAAGAGAAAUCCUGAUCAAGUUGUUGUACUGCUCUUUGACUCUAUUUCCUUAACUGUAAAUUAGAGGUAAGAAUCCCUGUCUCACGUGCACGAGCAGGAGAGGCUUUCUGGUCUGUUGGGAUUCUCAGAUUCACAAGGAUCAGGACGUGGCCAUUGAAAGCUGCCAUCCCAAGAGGCAAAACUAUGGAAGAUAGGAAGGAAAUCCGUACUUACCUCACUCUGCUCCCUCCUCCUUUCCGUGCCUGCGUGCACACACACACGCAUGCACACACCCUGAGGUUGUCAGGGGACUAGAGGUGUUGUCCUUGAAAGUGAAAGUCAUUCCAAGGCAAAGGAAAUGUACUGGUGUUGAGAAGGUUCGGUAGGGCCCCUUCCAACGGGAAUGGCUGACUCGCCAUGUCCUCUAAAGAUGCUGCCUUGAUUCGUGGAUUUCAGCAUUGUCCAAGCUCUGUGGCACCAUGGACUGGUUGUAUGUCACUGACAAGCAAAUGCUUAGUCCUGUGCUGUAUAUAUUUACUGUACCAUAUAAAUAAUAAA
RNAcentral lists this long non-coding RNA (1663 nucleotides) under Homo sapiens (human). Its description in RNAcentral is "PAX6 upstream antisense RNA". The record is from RNAcentral. Lineage: Eukaryota; Metazoa; Chordata; Mammalia; Primates; Hominidae.